This is a non-coding RNA of Caenorhabditis tropicalis, 47 nucleotides long. The record is from Rfam. NCBI's taxonomy places the organism in Eukaryota, Metazoa, Nematoda, Chromadorea, Rhabditida, Rhabditidae.
CCAACGGCCCUCUUUAGGGCCACACUAUCCUAUAAUCCUACUUUUCU